Long non-coding RNA from Passer domesticus (house sparrow), 2847 nucleotides. RefSeq lists it as uncharacterized. The record is from RefSeq and is a predicted model, not a curated record. Lineage: Eukaryota; Metazoa; Chordata; Aves; Passeriformes; Passeridae. The transcript is spliced from 8 exons.
CCAGAAGCAGAGUGUGGGAGAAGCCCCUGCAGGGGGCCCAACCAACAAAACACAGUGGAAAGAAGCGUGCAAGGGUGUGGGGCCGUGUCAGCAAUAGCAAGCAAGCCAUCCUGAAAAGAUGCUGCUGGCCACAUGCCACGGCCAUUUCACAGCAGCUGAGAGAGGGCCACUUUCUCACCAAGUCCAACAGAAAGCCAACAUUGCCCUACAAAUCUUUUCAAAACCUCUCAACCACCUUAGCUCCUGAAAAAUCAAGGCUGUCAUGUUCCAAAAACUCUAAUAAACACACUGAAGGGUUUAUCAUACAAAAGUCAGAAAAUGUACAACUCUCUGUAAAAUAUGCCUUCGAGUUCAUAGUACAAUACUCAUUAUGAGUGUUUGCAAUUGUUAGGACCCAAAUCAAUAGGCCUAUGAUUGGGAAAAUGUUCUAUUUCUUCUUCAGGAAGCCUGAAGAUAGAUCUUGUGGGAGGAGGCACAGCUUAAGCCUUUUGGCUGAUUCUGUUGUGGAGGAGGUUUGGUAAGCUCUGUGCUGUGACUUCUUUUUAAUAGGCCUUCCACAGAUCUCUAUUUCUCAAUUAUUUUCCUUUUGUGAAUGUGUGAGCUUAUACAGAACUUAAAUGUAUUGCCAACAACUCGUAUGUUAAAAUCUUUGAUUUAUUUAUUUAUUUUUCAGUUAAUGUUUCCCUAACUGAAGUGCUUAGAGUCAGGAUUCAGUCUCACAUACUUGCUACUUCGCUUUACCUGUCCAAAAUUAAUGACUUCCCUUGUAUCUGUGUAAUCUUAAGUGUCUUAAAUGACUUUUAAUAUUAAAGACCUUUCCUUGAUCUUUCUUGCAUCACUUGAAGGCAGGAGUCAUUUUGGGGUGUAUUGUUCUUUUCAAAUCAGUCAUCAGUCAAAGUGAGAAGAUGUUUUUGAUAGGAAAGAGUGCAGUUAAAAUUGCAUGCGAAUUUCUACUAUAGCAGCUCUGUAGUUACUGCUUUUGCUAAAAGCAUUUUUUCAACUGAAAUACCAUGUCCAGGCCUUUAUGUGGAGAUAGGUACCUGUGAGUAUAAAAAUGAGCAAGGACAUAAUCCUAUGUCAUUUUCUUUAACUAAAGAGAAAAUGUUACUUUAAUAUUCUAGGUAUAUAAUUGUUUCCUUUUAUUUAUUUAUUGAUAUGAGUUUUCACUGUUUCAAAAUGCAAGAAGUUCAGGUACCAGAGGUUGGUUUUUGGAGACCUAAGAAACCGAACAAAUAAAGUUGUCUUUGUAUGAUGUUCUCAUCUUUCUGGACUUAAAUAUUUCCAAACUGUACUUUUAGGCACUGCAGUGAAAAUAAAGGAAUUGGAGGACAAUGCUGCAGCAGCAAGACUAGCACAUAUAGACUGUAAAUACACUACAGAAAUCAUGCAGUUCAUGAAGACAGCGUUCAUCCUCAAGUGUGCAAUGGAAAGACCAGGUUGAAGAAAGGAACAAAGCUGAAGAAUCCUCUGAGAUAUUUGUGAAUCCUCCAGCCAGCUUCAGCCUGCAGGAAGGCUCAAUAGUGGACAGGUCCAUCCUCCUGAACUUGUACCAGAGCAUGGCAAAUGCCCACGUGCUUGCCAAACAGACAAAUGCCCCCCUGGAAGAGUUACCUUGGACAGAGUUUUGUGCACUCUUGCAUGAGAAUGUUGAAGCCCUGAUCUUGAACUUCCACAAGGCUAACAAGAGGAGAUAUCUCAUCUAGAGUACACUUGCAAGCACCAGGCUGACGCUAUGAAUGAACUUCAGCAGAGCCAGAAGUAUGCUUUUGAAAAAAUGUCUGAACAGUUAAAAGCACAGGAACAUUGGUGGCAGAAAGAAAAGCAAUAUCUUGAACAGCAGUACUCAAAUGUCCUUGCAGAAGUUCAUACAAGAGCACAGGAAUGUGAAGAAACGGCCCACAAAAACAGGGGGAAACUGUAUGGCCUUGAACAAAUCUGCGAGCAACUGGCCCAGGAAAACAAUUCCAUGAAAAAUACAUUAUUAGACGCUUUCAAGGCACGCUCAUCCCGCUGGCAGCCUGUGCGCUGCUGUCAGGGGCCCUGUGUCCCCUCUACGGCCGACUGAGCGCUAUGUCUUGCCAAAGAGACAUUCUCCAGGAGCAGGUGAACCAGCACCAAUUAUUGAACCAGAAGAUCAUCAGGCUCCUUUGUGGUCUCCCUACUAUGGUGGAAAGCAACCAAGAUGAAGGCAGGCUGAGGCAGAGAAGAGCCAAGAGCCUGGUUUACGUGUUCCGAAGGGCUGUGAUUGCAGUUCUGGCUGCUAACAGGCUGAGGGCUCUGGCCAGAUAUUCUUGUAUCUUUUUCGUCUGGACAGAUGGCUCCAGAGGAAGCAAUGGAAUUCAAGUUUGUGUGGGAGAAUCCAGAGGCAGGCAUCAUCUGCCGCGUUUUGGAGAGGGAAGAGUUGACUGUGAUGAAGCAGUCGGGUGGCUGACUAGCUCUAACCUCUGUACUGCAAUAGUCACUUCCAUCUCUGAACUGGAGGGUGCUCUCAUCAUUCAAGAUCCAGGCUCCUGGCUUUCUAAACACCCACUUAUCAGUACAACCAGGAGCUGCUUUGCAAAACUGAUGGGCAACCUGAGCAUACUGAUGGAGACAGCUCAAGGGAGCAUUCACGGGUGCAGAGCUUACCUGGAGAGGGACUCCCUGAUACAGAGGCUGGCUCAUGGGCUCAACAGAGUAAAUGCCCAGGCCCUGGAAGCUGGAUUGUAUGACAGACUGCCCAGCACAAGAAACAUAGCAAUCUUGCAGCAAGAAAUAUUUGAAUUUUCAUGAAGGCUUAAUGUGUAAGAGGUAGAGUCCCACACACUGCACCUGCAGCUUUCAGAAUGCAGAUGGACUUUCAAUGAG